This 765-nucleotide ribosomal RNA is filed under the name Triticum aestivum (bread wheat). Its description in RNAcentral is "partial small subunit ribosomal RNA". The record is from RNAcentral. Lineage: Eukaryota; Viridiplantae; Streptophyta; Magnoliopsida; Poales; Poaceae.
AUGCCGCAAGCCGCCACCCAAGAGGGAGAGGCGUCGGGGUCCGGACCAACCCUCGCGCUCCGCCGCGGCCGGAGCUCCACCGUCUCAGCAACGCCCACGACGACCACCCGGUCGAUGGCCCUGGUGCGUGCGCGGCGGAAGCCCCCGGGCUCCCAAUCGCCACAGGAACCACCCGUGCGGUCCCCGACAAGGAAGAGAAAGAGGGGGGCGGCUGCCAACCAGAAAUCGAAGGAACGGACAAGGACCAGGGAUGAGGAGGAGGAGGAGGAUGGGGUCUCAUCUGCAGGCAGCUCCCCAAUUCGCGCGCCGCAGAUUCCGGAUGCGUUAUACGAAGAUCUGGAUAUGCUCAAGGCCAUUCAAGAUGUACACGAUGCAUACGAUGAAAAAUUAGGCCGCCAAAUGGAACUGCCGACUCUUUAUCUGCACACGUGUAAACCGCCCACAUGCUUGAGUACUAAUCCUAAGCUUCUUCGUGUCCGUGAAUCCACAACAAAGACAGUGCUUGCUGCUGCUCCAUCAGUUAUUGGACUUUCAUCCUCUGUUGGUCGUCAUUUGCUAACACGAUGCUCUGGAUUUUGGGUUGAUUGGGAUGAGGAAAACAAAAAAGGUACUGUUUUGACUACUGCACAUGUGAUUCGCACGAAGUCCCCAUCCUCAAAUGACUGGCUAGGUAAAGAUGAGUAUGCUCCCAAGGCCAAGGUUUUUGUUCACUUGCGGGAUGCCACUACUCAGAAGGCCACCAUGCUGUACUACGAGAAGCACUAG